CCUACGGGGGGCAGCAGUGGGGGAUAUUGCACAAUGGGGGGAACCCUGAUGCAGCGACGCCGCGUGGGUGAAGAAGCGCCUCGGCGCGUAAAGCCCUGUCAGCAGGGAAGAAAAUGACGGUACCUGACGAAGAAGCCCCGGCUAACUACGUGCCAGCAGCCGCGGUAAUACGUAGGGGGCAAGCGUUCUCCGGAUUUAAUGGGUGUAAAGGGGGCGCAGACGGCGAUGCAAGCCAGGAGUGAAAGCCCGGGGCCAAAACCCGGGACUGCGCUUGAAACUGCGUGGCUGGAGUGCAGGAGGGGCAGGCGGAAGGCCUGGUGUAGCGGUGAAAUGCGUAGAUAUCAGGCGGAACACCGGUGGCGAAGGCGGCCUGCUGGACUGCAACUGACGUUGAGGCCCGAAAGCGUGGGGAGCAAACAGGAUUAGAUACCCGAGUAGUC
RNAcentral lists this ribosomal RNA (440 nucleotides) under uncultured bacterium. RNAcentral describes it as "partial 16S ribosomal RNA". It matches the Rfam family "Bacterial small subunit ribosomal RNA", at positions 338 to 795 of the family's 1533-position model. The record is from RNAcentral.